AGUGGCAGACGGGUGAGUAACGCGUGGGAACCUUCCCUGUGGUACGGAAUAACUUCGGGAAACCGAAGCUAAUACCGUAUAUCUCCUCCGGAAGAAAGAUUUAUCGCCAUAGGAUGGGCCCGCGUUGGAUUAGCUAGUUGGUAGGGUAAUGGCCUACCAAGGCAACGAUCCAUAGCUGGUCUGAGAGGAUGAUCAGCCACACUGGGACUGAGACACGGCCCAGACUCCUACGGGAGGCAGCAGUGGGGAAUAUUGGACAAUGGGGGAAACCCUGAUCCAGCCGUGCCGCGUGAGUGAAGAAGGCCUUAGGGUUGUAAAGCUCUUUUGGCGGGGACGAUAAUGACGGUACCCGCAGAAUAAGCCCCGGCUAACUUCGUGCCAGCAGCCGCGGUAAUACGAAGGGGGCUAGCGUUGUUCGGAAUUACUGGGCGUAAAGCGCACGCAGGCGGAUUGAUAAGUCAGGGGUGAAAUCCCGGGGCUCAACCUCGGAAUUGCCUUUGA
This 501-nucleotide ribosomal RNA is filed under the name uncultured bacterium. Its description in RNAcentral is "bacterial SSU rRNA". It matches the Rfam family "Bacterial small subunit ribosomal RNA", at positions 94 to 630 of the family's 1533-position model. The record is from RNAcentral.